RNAcentral lists this non-coding RNA (30 nucleotides) under Rattus norvegicus (Norway rat). The record is from RNAcentral. Lineage: Eukaryota; Metazoa; Chordata; Mammalia; Rodentia; Muridae.
UGCACAAAGAGUUUAAAUGCAGCCAAGGGG